This 474-nucleotide unclassified non-coding RNA is filed under the name Melitaea cinxia (Glanville fritillary). RNAcentral's name for it is "misc RNA ENSMCXG00005010627.1". The record is from RNAcentral. Lineage: Eukaryota; Metazoa; Arthropoda; Insecta; Lepidoptera; Nymphalidae.
AGAAAGCAUGCUAUCGUCCAGGCUUUUAUUAUUACGAUCGUUACUCAUAGUAUCCACCAACUCGCAGUGGAGCAGCGUGGUGGAAUAAGCUCUGAUCCUUCUCCUACACGGAGAGAGAGCCAGUGAGCUUUUACAGUCUAAAUUAAUUACUAAUUUUUUUGUUCAUUAAAUGAAAUAAAAAUCAAUAUGUAAUAUGUCUGAGCAUGUUUCAGGCUUAUGCUAAUGAAAGUUCUGCAGUCGUUAAUAGUUCAUAUGUCAGAAUUUGUUUAAAAACAAUAUCUCAAGUAUUUUUUUCAGUAGUGGGCUAUGUUUAAAUGCGCUUAAUCUAAAUACAUUAAUAUAUUGAUCACAUAAAUAUAAUCAACAUACAAUUGAUAAUUAACAACACAAAUUAUUUAAGAUUCUCCUCACUAAAGCUAACGCAAUUUAUGCUUUGACACGUUUUAAAUUUUUCGUACAUCGAAAAUGUCGUAU